AUUUAAAGCUGUCGUCAGGCGGGUGCUAUAAAUAUCAGCACGGGCUGCUCGGAAACAAGGCGCAUGGCGGUCAGGGAUGCGGUGACAUUGGGGUGACAGUGACGAGGUUGUGUGGGGGUGGGGUACAGGUGUGCUCACCCAACGUUUCUCCCCGCAGAGCAUCUCGGACGCCUUCGGGAGCAUCUACCGGCAGCACGGCGUGGCGGGGCUGUGGCGGGGGGUGUCGGGCGCAGUGCCACGCGUGGCGGUGGGCUCGGCUGCACAGCUUGCCACCUUCGCUUCUGCCAAGGACUGGGUCUGCCAGCACCAGUGGUUCGGGGAGGGCAGCUGGGCGGCGGUGCUGGCGGGCGGCAUGGUGAGCGGCGUGGCCGUGGCGGUGACGAUGACGCCGUUUGACGUGGUCAGCACGCGGCUCUACAACCAGCCCGUGGAGGCUGACGGCACCGGCAAGCUGUACCGCGGGUUCCUGGACUGCUU
RNAcentral lists this long non-coding RNA (477 nucleotides) under Gallus gallus (chicken). RNAcentral's name for it is "long non-coding RNA NONGGAT004918". The record is from RNAcentral. Lineage: Eukaryota; Metazoa; Chordata; Aves; Galliformes; Phasianidae.